RNAcentral lists this ribosomal RNA (543 nucleotides) under Streptomyces sp. MWW214. RNAcentral describes it as "bacterial SSU rRNA". It matches the Rfam family "Bacterial small subunit ribosomal RNA", at positions 97 to 653 of the family's 1533-position model. The record is from RNAcentral. Lineage: Bacteria; Bacillati; Actinomycetota; Actinomycetes; Kitasatosporales; Streptomycetaceae.
GGCGAACGGGUGAGUAACACGUGGGCAAUCUGCCCUGCACUCUGGGACAAGCCCUGGAAACGGGGUCUAAUACCGGAUACUGAGCNACUUGGGCAUCCAAGUGGUUCGAAAGCUCCGGCGGUGCAGGAUGAGCCCGCGGCCUAUCAGCUUGUUGGUGAGGUAAUGGCUCACCAAGGCGACGACGGGUAGCCGGCCUGAGAGGGCGACCGGCCACACUGGGACUGAGACACGGCCCAGACUCCUACGGGAGGCAGCAGUGGGGAAUAUUGCACAAUGGGCGAAAGCCUGAUGCAGCGACGCCGCGUGAGGGAUGACGGCCUUCGGGUUGUAAACCUCUUUCAGCAGGGAAGAAGCGAAAGUGACGGUACCUGCAGAAGAAGCGCCGGCUAACUACGUGCCAGCAGCCGCGGUAAUACGUAGGGCGCAAGCGUUGUCCGGAAUUAUUGGGCGUAAAGAGCUCGUAGGCGGCUUGUCACGUCGGUUGUGAAAGCCCGGGGCUUAACCCCGGGUCUGCAGUCGAUACGGGCAGGCUAGAGUUCGGUA